This 776-nucleotide ribosomal RNA is filed under the name uncultured Neocallimastigales. RNAcentral's name for it is "partial large subunit ribosomal RNA". It matches the Rfam family "Eukaryotic large subunit ribosomal RNA", at positions 24 to 644 of the family's 3401-position model. The record is from RNAcentral. Lineage: Eukaryota; Fungi; Neocallimastigomycota; Neocallimastigomycetes; Neocallimastigales.
UUAUGUGAUCGUCUCUCGCAUAUCAAUAAGCGGAGGAAAAGAAACUAACAAGGAUUCCCCUAGUAACGGCGAGUGAAGCGGGAAGAGCUCAAAUUUGAAAUCUUAAAGGGUUUCCCUUUACGAAUUGUAGUUUAAAGAAGUGUUUUCUGUUGAGGUUUUGGUAAAAGUUCUUUGGAAUAGGACAUCAUAGAGGGUGAGAAUCCCGUAUUUGACCUUUACUUUCAACUUUGUGAUACACUUUCAAAGAGUCGGAUUGUUUGGGAAUGCAGUCCAAAAUGGGUGGUAAAUUUCAUCUAAAGCUAAAUAUUGGCGAGAGGACCGAUAGCGAACAAGUACCGUGAGGGAAAGAUGAAAAGAACUUUGAAAAGAGAGUUAAACAGUACGUGAAAUUGUCAAAAGGGAAGCGUUUGACACCAGUGUUGUUUUUCUGAAAAUCAAUUAAAGAACUGUUUAUGCUAAGUUGUUUAGACUUUAUCAGCUAACUGUUUAGUUUUGAGCUUUUCUUUAAUGCACUUUUCAGUUAACAAGUCAACAUCAAUUUCUUUUGCUGUAAAAAAGCUUGAGGAAGGUGGCUUGAGAUUCGUCUUAAGUGUUUAUAGCCUCUUGCCUAUGCAGUCGGAGAGAUUGAGGUCUGCAGCGUAGAUCCUUCGGGGCUAAAUGCAUUUGUGCUAAGUUAUAGCAUUUUAUAGACAACUUGUUGACUAUGAUUUGUCUUGUAGCUUACUCGCUUAUGUUAUUUUACCUACGCUUAGGAUGUUGACUGAUAUGUAGUCGUA